Long non-coding RNA from Hippocampus comes (tiger tail seahorse), 1448 nucleotides. RefSeq lists it as uncharacterized. The record is from RefSeq and is a predicted model, not a curated record. The transcript is spliced from 5 exons. NCBI's taxonomy places the organism in Eukaryota, Metazoa, Chordata, Actinopteri, Syngnathiformes, Syngnathidae.
GAAAAUGAACAAAAUAAAAAGGCGAAAAGAAAUCCAAAAAUAAUAAUAAUAAUAAAAAAAGAAAUAGACGACAGUCGUGUAGUACCACGGGUGGCCACCGUUAGCAUGCGGAAAAGAUGGCAGUAAUGCAGCAAAAGUAUUUGCCGACUGUCACAAAAAAAAUCGUAGAAGUAGUUGUUGCGAUGCCAACGAAGCCGUGACGCUAGUUUAGCCUGCUGAUUCAUUACAUCACAACAAGAAUUUAUAGCGUCAAAGGGCGCAACGUACAACCACGAUUUAACCUUUGGCCUCAAAGUGAUGCGAGAUUCAAGUGAGGAGGUGUACAUCGUUAGUCCGUCAGUAUUUCAGGCCAGCCCUCAUGGACCCACUCCGUCUCUCAUCGGCGACAGCCAAUUGGACAUUGAGAUUCCUUCUCAACAACAUCCUCGGUUCGAUUGAGGUCCUCUUCGCCGUAGCCGAACACAAGCCCGCCUGUUCCUGCGGCAUCAUGCUCCUCUUCUACUGGACAGGAACGGACAACAUAAGAACAACAACAAUCGGUCAAAGGAGGGAAGCUGACAUAAAGCAGAGCUGUCCAUCGCAAAUCAAAGUAGCAACAAAGUCACGCUCCAUUACUUGAGGUUAUCAGACAAAGGUCCACGGCUUCGCGUUGAUGCUACACAUUGGAUUCACGCAACAGGAAUGACGUAAUCAGCGGCGCGCCUGAAUGGGGUGAUUCUUCUUCUUCAGAGUCCCCUCCCCUGCCGCUGGGUUACAGCAGCAUUCGUACAGCAGAGCAAAGACAAUCAGCGAUAGUGCUCCCAGUACAAACACCACCAUGACCACGAAACCCCCCAGCGCCCAUGGCUCUUGAUGCAAACGAAAGAGGAACCAUCCUAUCCAGUCGUCGGGUUUCUGCUGUCCUGGUACGCUGCACAAAGUGAUAAAGCAUCAGUUGAACAAGAAUCUGUGUCGGUUGAGAUAAGCGCAUACUGUACUGUAUAUACAGAACGUUAGUUGCCACUUAUAAAUGGUAACCUUCUGCCCUAGGAAUUAGACAUUGAAAUACUUUUAAAGCUGCUGAUGCCGAAAACUAUUGUCAUCAAAAACAUUGCACUUCAAAAACUCACCUCUCCACAGCCAUGUCCUACUAAAUGGUUCUCUCACAGCUCAGUGAGUUUGAACAAAGUGUGACCAUAGCUUAUGUCAAUGGGGAGUUUAGACAGGGAUGCCUCUUCAUCCAACAGCAGCAGCAGCAGAAGCUCUAAAACUAUCUGAAUGUCGACAAAAUGUGACGGUUUCCUAAACAAGCGUGUAGCCUACGCAGAGAGCAAAUCUAGGCCUCAAGCCUUUCCAACGUACGCUCUUGUGUGACGCAAAAGCAACACGGGUUAAUGUUUACACAAAAUAUUGACGUGAACUCAAAAGAGGAAGCUGAUAAUAAACUCCGUCUAUGGCAUGGCCAUGUC